RNAcentral lists this ribosomal RNA (442 nucleotides) under uncultured bacterium. Its description in RNAcentral is "bacterial SSU rRNA". It matches the Rfam family "Bacterial small subunit ribosomal RNA", at positions 337 to 795 of the family's 1533-position model. The record is from RNAcentral.
UCCUACGGGAGGCAGCAGUGAGGAAUAUUGCACAAUGGGGGAAACCCUGAUGCAGCGACGCCGCGUGGGUGAUGAAGGUUUUCGGAUCGUAAAGCCCUUUUCUGCAUGACGAGCAAGGACGGUAGUGCAGGAAUAAGUGUCGGCUAACUACGUGCCAGCAGCCGCGGUAAAACGUAGGACACAAGCGUUAUCCGGAAUUACUGGGCGUAAAGGGCGUGCAGGCGGUUGAGUAAGUUAGGCGUGAAAGACUUCGGCUAAACCGGGGGAGGUCGUCUGAUACUGCUCAACUAGAGUGUGGGAGAGGCGUGUAGAAUUCCGGGUGUAGUGGUGAAAUGCGUAGAGAUCCGGAGGAAUACCAGUGGCGAAGGCGGCACGCUGGGCCAUAACUGACGCUAAGACGCGAAAGCAUGGGUAGCGAACGGGAUUAGAUACCCCGGUAGUC